AUUUUUUUUCGUCAACCCUCUGUGCAUGUUUGGCUUUAGAUCGAGCGGCGGCGCUCCCGAAGUCCCGAUCCAAUCGGGACAUGUAGGGCGACGGCGGCAGGACUCUGGAAAGUGGGGAACGGCAGUGAAGCGGCGGACGUCGCGGCAAGGCGGAUCAGGUCAGGAUCCAGCGCGGCGGCCGGUGCUCCAUGGCCAUGGCGCCUCGGUCUCGUGGGAAGAAGAGACGUGGGAGAGAGAGGAUGUGAGAUGAGGAGAAGAGAAGGCAGAGUAAGGACGGCGCGGAUUCCGGCGGUGGCUCCGGUCGGCGGAUCCAGGCCAACUCUUGAUGGAUUUCCAAUGUGCUGCUGGCCUCCGAAUUUUUUUUGUCGUGUAGCCGCUCCCCAUCUCAGCGUGUGCUAUCCACGGAAGCCGGCUCCUCCACUCAGGCCCUCCUCUGCAACGCCGACGAGGACGCUACUUCGUCUGAACCGAUCUUCACGACCACGUGCAGGGAUGUAGGAUAAUUGGGUGAACAAGCUUCCUGUGAAACAUCCAGAUCCCGGUGGCGGUGCCUCCGUUCAGCAUCCCACGCGGCGACGUCCUCCGGUAUAAUGGCAAACACCGGCAGGGGAGAGAGCAGAGCGGGAGGGGUAUUGGGUCCAUACCAUUGUGGGCAUUGCCAGUGCCAUGAUUGUGGUUAAUACCCACAGGAGAUUCUAUUCCUGUGAGUGGAUUAAACAGAGUUGAGUAAACAUCAUCCAUAGGAGAUACAUAUGCUAAUUAAGUUUAGAGGAGAAAGUGGUUCUUUAUUCUUGUAAUUUUGGUGCAGAUGUCAUACAGGGGCAGAGAACAAUGGUCUUCUGGGAAUGCCUGUUAACUUUUUGGAGCUGCCAGGGUUUGUAAGAGGAGAUGGAUUUUGGACUACACUAUUUCGGAUGCCACGGAUUUUGUCGGGGAUAUACCCCGCGAUAUAAACCGCCGGAUGUAUGACCCGGCUAGAAUUUGGCGAUUCACUGGCAACCCACUUGGACAUGGCGGUUUAUGGUUCAUUGGUAAUCCGGCAGGCGGGUCAGAGGAGCGACAAGACCCGGUGGCCCAACGGGCGGUUUAUGGAAGGCCGGAUCAUGCUAUGGUGGGCCGGUUUAAGAGAAAAUGCGUGAGGAAUAUUUACUUUACAAGGAAGACCCGGACUUGUAUC
Triticum aestivum (bread wheat) is the source of this 1177-nucleotide long non-coding RNA. RefSeq lists it as uncharacterized. The record is from RefSeq and is a predicted model, not a curated record. NCBI's taxonomy places the organism in Eukaryota, Viridiplantae, Streptophyta, Magnoliopsida, Poales, Poaceae. The transcript is spliced from 4 exons.